Molecule: ribosomal RNA, 429 nt
Filed under: Bacteroidota bacterium
Lineage: Bacteria; Pseudomonadati; Bacteroidota
Description: Bacteroidetes bacterium partial 16S ribosomal RNA
Rfam family: Bacterial small subunit ribosomal RNA
Source: RNAcentral
UAGGGAAUCUUCCGCAAUGGACGCAAGUCUGACGGAGCAACGCCGCGUGAGUGAAGAAGGGUUUCGGUUCGUAAAACUCUGUUGUUAGAGAAGAACAGCGUAUAGAGUAACUGUUAUGCGUGUGACGGUAUCUAACCAGAAAGCCACGGCUAACUACUUGCCAGCAGCCGCGGUAAUACGUAGGUGGCAAGCGUUGUCCGGAUUUAUUGGGCGUAAAGCGAGCGCAGGCGGUCAAUUAAGACUGAUGUGAACGCCCCCGGCUCAACCGGAGAGGGUCAUUUGAAUCUGAAUGACUUGAGUGCAGAAGGGGAGAGUGGACUUCCAUGUGUAGCGGUGAAAUGCGUAGAUAUAUGGAGGAACACCAGUGGCGAAGGCGGCUCUCUGGUCUGUAACUGACGCCGAGGCUCGAAAGCGUGGGUAGCACACAGG